RNAcentral lists this ribosomal RNA (425 nucleotides) under uncultured bacterium. RNAcentral's name for it is "partial 16S ribosomal RNA". It matches the Rfam family "Bacterial small subunit ribosomal RNA", at positions 354 to 796 of the family's 1533-position model. The record is from RNAcentral.
GUGGGGAAUAUUGGACAAUGGGCGCAAGCCUGAUCCAGCCAUGCCGCGUGAGUGAUGAAGGCCCUAGGGUUGUAAAGCUCUUUCACCGGAGAAGAUAAUGACGGUAUCCGGAGAAGAAGCCCCGGCUAACUUCGUGCCAGCAGCCGCGGUAAUACGAAGGGGGCUAGCGUUGUUCGGAAUUACUGGGCGUAAAGCGCACGUAGGCGGACAUUUAAGUCAGGGGUGAAAUCCCGGGGCUCAACCCCGGAACUGCCUUUGAUAAUGGGUGGCUGGAGUAUGGAAGAGGUAAGUGGAAUUCCGAGUGUAGAGGUGAAAUUCGUAGAUAUUCGGAGGAACACCAGUGGCGAAGGCGGCUUACGGGUCCAUUACUGACGCUGAGGUGCGAAAGCGUGGGGAGCAAACAGGAUUAGAUACCCGGGUAGUCC